AAUCAACGCUGGCGGCGUGCCUAACACAUGCAAGUCGAACGCGAAAACCUCGCAAGGGGUGAGUAGAGUGGCAAACGGGUGAGUAACACGUGGGUGACCUGCCUUCGAGUGGGGGAUAACGUCCCGAAAGGGACGCUAAUACCGCAUAACAUCCUGCCUUUUAAGAGGUGGACAUCAAAGCUGGGGAUCGCAAGACCUAGCGCUGGAAGAGGGGCCCGCGCCUGAUUAGCUAGUUGGGGGGUAAUGGCUCACCAAGGCAACGAUCAGUAUCCGGCCUGAGAGGGCGGACGGACACACUGGGACUGAGACACGGCCCAGACUCCUACGGGAGGCAGCAGUGGGGAAUUGUUCGCAAUGGGCGCAAGCCUGACGACGCAACGCCGCGUGGAGGAUGAAGACUCGGUCGUAAC
This 410-nucleotide ribosomal RNA is filed under the name uncultured bacterium. RNAcentral's name for it is "bacterial SSU rRNA". It matches the Rfam family "Bacterial small subunit ribosomal RNA", at positions 29 to 429 of the family's 1533-position model. The record is from RNAcentral.